Tarenaya hassleriana is the source of this 1980-nucleotide RNA transcript. It is a transcript of the gene named F-box protein At5g46170-like, with no coding region annotated. Lineage: Eukaryota; Viridiplantae; Streptophyta; Magnoliopsida; Brassicales; Cleomaceae. The transcript has 4 exons. The record is from RefSeq and is a predicted model, not a curated record.
UCGCACGCGCUUAUUACCCUUCCCUCAAUCUCUCUCUAAGUGGGGACAAAACCCGUGGCUCCAUUUCCACCUUCUCUCUCUCUAGAGCCCUCCUUUCUCUCUCUAGAAGCCUCCCUCCCCGUGCGUUAUCUUCUCUGAAGAUCUGAUCCUGGUCCCUUCCUUUGCUCUCUAACCCUAGAUCCCCCCCCCCCAAUCGGAUCAAUCUCUUGAUCAUGGAUGUGAUUCUGCGUUCAGAUCCGCCUUCUCGCAUCUAUCCCGAACCCGAAACCCUAGAGAUCGACCACUUUGAUCGUCUCCCCGAUGCCAUCCUCCUCCUCGUCUUCAACAAGAUCGGCGACGUCAAGGCCCUCGGCCGCUGUUGCGUCGUCUCCAAGAGGUUCCAUUCCCUCGUUCCUCAGGUCGACAACGUCGUUGUCCGUGUUGAUUGUGUCAUCUCCGACGACGACUCCUCCUCCCCUUCGUCUGAUAAGCGCCGGUCCGUCACUGCCGUUGCCGCCGGCCCUGUUUCCGCCAUCUUUCGACUCGUCUUCGGUGGCAUUGUCAAGCCGAUCCAGGCAUUGGGGCAGUUCCUUGGCACCAAGCGCUCAUGCGCCACUGCUUCUUCCUCUUCUCUCUCCAUUAGUGGGGACGACGAUGGAGAGAUCGCACAAGGUGGCGUGACCCACCACUCUCCUACCCAGGUAUUGAAAAACUUCAAUGAGAUUCGCUACCUUCGCAUCGAGCUUCCCAGCGGUGAAUUGGGGAUAGACGACGGGGUUUUGUUGAAAUGGAGGGCGGAAUUUGGUUCCACCCUUGAUAAUUGUGUGAUUCUCGGUGCGUCAUCCGUGAUCCACACGAACCCGGACACAGCCAUCGAUCCGAGCGGCGCCGAAGAUAAUGGGAGUAUACCCGAGUCGUUUUACACAAACGGAGGGCUGAAACUGCGAGUGGUGUGGACAAUAAGCUCCUUGAUUGCUGCAUCGGCACGACACUAUUUGCUGCAACCAAUAAUUGCGGAGCAUAAGACGCUUGGUAAUCUACUGCUCACUGACGCCGAUGGCCAAGGAGUGCUUUGUAUGAACAAGGACCAGCUGGAGGAGCUGAGGAUUAAACCCUUGUCAGCUUCUUCGGCUUCAAAGAGGACCCUUGUACCGGCAUUGAACAUGAGGCUGUGGUAUGCUCCACACUUGGAAUUACCUGAUGGCACAGUGUUAAAUGGCGCUACUUUGGUGGCGAUAAGGCCAAGCGAGUCGAAAAAGGAGGCAUGUGAUGUGUCUUGGGUAUCCUCUGCGUUCGAGGAGCCUUACAGGACAGCUGCGAAGAUGUUGGUCAAGAGAAGGACUUACUGUCUUGAGAUGAACUCGUUCUAGCUGAGGGUUUCAGUCGGAUCUGAAAUGAAUGGGUACUGAUUUCAGAUGAAAAACUCUGGAGUCUGGAUCUUUAUUUGAUUAGCUUUGUCCCUGCACACAAGAAAAACUCGAACUUUAUCCAGGCUGCAAAAGGGAGAUGGAUGCAUAGUAUAAGCACAAGAAAUGGAGAAUCAAGGAAAGAAAAGUUUUGGGAAUCAGGAAAACCAGUUUUGCAUUGCCUGUUCUGACUAAUCUGGGAUUUUGGUAUGGGCCUAGUGCCUGUUCUUGGUCAAAAUCUCUGCAACUUGUAGCUUCUACCAAUGCUGUGAUCGGACACUCCAGACCGCAUCUGCUGGCUGUUUUUCUUUCAGGAAAAUGCUUUGUAUAACAGCUCGAAACAUCCACAACGACGACGAAUAUCUUAAGAUCCUCUUCUGUCUUGUAGUUAGUUAAAUCUUCAUGUCCCCUUCUUCUUCUUCCUCUUUGUUCUUUUGAAUGUGAAUAUGGUAGCUACAAGAAACAUUUGUUUAUCCCUGUAUUACAUACUUCUUUAAGUUAAAAACUGAAACAAUGUAGUCCUUGCUAGUGUCUUUAGCAUAAAACAGUUGUUAUUGUGUUCAAUGAAUGGCGAAGUAAUUAAAGCCUUUGUGUU